This 424-nucleotide ribosomal RNA is filed under the name Verrucomicrobiota bacterium. RNAcentral describes it as "Verrucomicrobia bacterium partial 16S ribosomal RNA". It matches the Rfam family "Bacterial small subunit ribosomal RNA", at positions 355 to 776 of the family's 1533-position model. Lineage: Bacteria; Pseudomonadati; Verrucomicrobiota. The record is from RNAcentral.
UGAGGAAUAUUGGUCAAUGGACGAGAGUCUGAACCAGCCAAGUAGCGUGCAGGAUGACGGCCCUAUGGGUUGUAAACUGCUUUUAUAUGGGAAUAAAGUGAGGGACGUGUCCCUUAUUGCAUGUACCAUACGAAUAAGGACCGGCUAAUUCCGUGCCAGCAGCCGCGGUAAUACGGAAGGUCCAGGCGUUAUCCGGAUUUAUUGGGUUUAAAGGGAGCGUAGGCUGUUUGUUAAGCGUGUUGUGAAAUGUAAGAGCUCAACUUUUAGAUUGCAGCGCGAACUGGCGGACUUGAGUGCGCACAACGUAGGCGGAAUUCAUGGUGUAGCGGUGAAAUGCUUAGAUAUCAUGACGAACUCCGAUUGCGAAGGCAGCUUACGGGAGCGCAACUGACGCUAAAGCUCGAAGGUGCGGGUAUCGAACAGG